RNAcentral lists this ribosomal RNA (253 nucleotides) under uncultured bacterium. RNAcentral describes it as "partial 16S ribosomal RNA". It matches the Rfam family "Bacterial small subunit ribosomal RNA", at positions 524 to 776 of the family's 1533-position model. The record is from RNAcentral.
UACAGAGGGUGCGAGCGUUGUCCGGAAUCACUGGGCGUAAAGGGCGCGUAGGCGGCCCCUCAUGCGUGCCGUGAAAGCCCGGGGCUCAACCCCGGGUCGGCGGUGCGAACGGGGGGGCUGGAGCACAUCAGAGGCAGGCGGAAUUCCGGGUGUAGCGGUGGAAUGCGUAGAGAUCCGGAAGAACACCGGUGGCGAAGGCGGCCUGCUGGGGUGUGGCUGACGCUGAGGCGCGACAGCGUGGGGAGCAAACAGG